GGGUGGGGUCACGAGCAGGGAGAGGCGGAGGAGGAAAAAGGCAGAGAGAGAGAGCCCAGCCCUUGAAUACACGGCAACAACACCGCCGUCAGAGAGACAGAGACACAGAGACACACAGACUCCGAGAGACCGGCUGUUUUUUGGGGGGAGCAACGGGAGCCUUCGACGCUGCGGAUAUGAACUGAAAAGCAACACUGGAAGAGGCAGGGAUCGUGUUUCCUGGACCCCCCCUAACCGCCCCCCUCCCUGGAUUUGACUGUGAAAAGGUGGAAAACUAGCCCCCCAACCCUCCAAAACAACCCCCCCCCCUAUCUCCCUCCCUCCACCAGUUCGUAUUCAGAUAGAGCUACACCCAAAAGCCCCCGACCGAACCCCCUCCUGCUCUUGCUGCUCCACCCCUCCGCCGCUGCACCGCUCCGGCAACCGAGAUGCACACGGAGACCCGUAACAAGAAAGCUGGAAUCCGCUGGGUCACGUGGUCACAUGGUGGCCUGCAACAGACUUUGGGCUGACCUGGAUUUGGCUCGGCGGCGCUUCUCUCUGCACCGGAUUCCCCCUAAAGAAAGAAAAGGGUCCAUUCCCAGGUCGAUGAACGAAGUUACAGUGAGUAUAUUUACCCGAGGACUGAAUACGCAACUCGGCCUUCAAUGCCUUCAAAUAUGUGAGGAGCUGUUAAUGACGCUGCUAUUAAUGCGGAUGUCACACUCUUUGUGUUCCCACUAGAAGCAGAUCUCGUUUUGUGUAUUUGAGCCUCUGUCUCGCCGCGAGGAAGCGGGUGUGAAGUCACUUCCUGUCUGCUUCUUUGCCCACACAAGGUGACGCGAUUUGAAAAUGAAACCAAAACUGCGUCAAAGACUCAAAGAGAUGCCAAACUUUCCAUUUCGUCUCAAACGUAUUAAAAGUCGGCCCGUUUGAAGAGGAAGGAAACUUGUCAGAAGGGAAGUCAUCUUCCACCCGCGGAGCGUGUAGAUCGGCAGCGUUCAAAGCGAGGGUCGCGGCCCUCUGGGGGGGUCAGCGGAAAACUGACAAAGACGGACAGACCCGCUCCCGUCCUCCGUCUGACGCAUCUGCGUUUUUGUUCCCGUGGGGAUUCAAUCGCAACUCCUCCGGGUUCAAUAAAAGGCCAAACGCGCCACCCGAGCCCGCGUCACUGAUAGCGGCAGCGCUCAGGUUAUCACGCGUGGCGUUCAGCUGAAACGCCGCCGGCGGUCGAGGUAGAUGAUCUACUCAACCGCUCUAAACACCCCCGCCCCCCUCCCCCUCGCUGAUGGUUCAUCUAUUACCACGUUGCUUUGCCGUCUCAGCGGCAGCUCAGACGGCGCAGAGACGCGAGCGAGAGGAAGUGGACACGCAGGGAAAAUGGAGGCCCGAGAAGAAGAGACGGGGGUGUGUGCAGCGCGGGAAGUGUGCGUGCGCGUUGUGCACUCCCCACACCUCUCGCUCUCUCUCUCUCUCUCUCCUCUGUGUGUGUGUGUGUGUGUCUCUCGCUCAGCUUCCACAGAAGGGUGUGUCCGCCUGCCGGCUGUGAAAAGGAGGGAGGGGUCAGUCGGCGGCUACUCCUCCCUGCUCUCUCUGUUAUUUCUCUCUCGCUCUCAUUCCCUCACUGGCAGCCGCAGGAUCGGGCCUUUGUCUCUCGGGCCUCCCCGGCCUCUCGUUGCCUUUUCACUAUUUCUAUUUUCCGGGUUUGUUUUUGCAGGAUGUGUGUGUGUUGCGUCCCCCCUCCUCCCCCGGGGGAUUUGUGAGAGAGGGUUUUUUUUUUUUUUUCUUUAGCCGGCGUUGAGAUCCGGAGGUAAUUUCUCCCUCCUCCAAACUCCGUAAUGCCGUUUCCUGUCGUACUUCCUCUCCUACCUGUCUUCCUUUUCGCAUUUUCCUCCCCGCUGCCCACUUCACCCCUCAUUCCUUCUCCAGAUUCCUCCCCCCAUCACCCC
Molecule: long non-coding RNA, 1928 nt
Organism: Gasterosteus aculeatus aculeatus (three-spined stickleback)
Lineage: Eukaryota; Metazoa; Chordata; Actinopteri; Perciformes; Gasterosteidae
Source: Ensembl